RNAcentral lists this ribosomal RNA (675 nucleotides) under Shigella flexneri. RNAcentral's name for it is "partial 23S ribosomal RNA". It matches the Rfam family "Bacterial large subunit ribosomal RNA", at positions 2238 to 2907 of the family's 2925-position model. The record is from RNAcentral. Lineage: Bacteria; Pseudomonadati; Pseudomonadota; Gammaproteobacteria; Enterobacterales; Enterobacteriaceae.
AUCCGGGUUGCGGACAGUGUCUGGUGGGUAGUUUGACUGGGGCGGUCUCCUCCUAAAGAGUAACGGAGGAGCACGAAGGUUGGCUAAUCCUGGUCGGACAUCAGGAGGUUAGUGCAAUGGCAUAAGCCAGCUUGACUGCGAGCGUGACGGCGCGAGCAGGUGCGAAAGCAGGUCAUAGUGAUCCGGUGGUUCUGAAUGGAAGGGCCAUCGCUCAACGGAUAAAAGGUACUCCGGGGAUAACAGGCUGAUACCGCCCAAGAGUUCAUAUCGACGGCGGUGUUUGGCACCUCGAUGUCGGCUCAUCACAUCCUGGGGCUGAAGUAGGUCCCAAGGGUAUGGCUGUUCGCCAUUUAAAGUGGUACGCGAGCUGGGUUUAGAACGUCGUGAGACAGUUCGGUCCCUAUCUGCCGUGGGCGCUGGAGAACUGAGGGGGGCUGCUCCUAGUACGAGAGGACCGGAGUGGACGCAUCACUGGUGUUCGGGUUGUCAUGCCAAUGGCACUGCCCGGUAGCUAAAUGCGGAAGAGAUAAGUGCUGAAAGCAUCUAAGCACGAAACUUGCCCCGAGAUGAGUUCUCCCUGACCCUUUAAGGGUCCUGAAGGAACGUUGAAGACGACGACGUUGAUAGGCCGGGUGUGUAAGCGCAGCGAUGCGUUGAGCUAACCGGUACUAAUGA